AGCUUUGCACAGUGGCAGUAUUGAAGCCAAUGAGGUUUAUCCAAGGCACAAUUAUUGCUAAUUGAAAACUUUUCCCAAUACCCUGCCAACGACUUGAAAUAUAGUCAGCACUGGCAAUUUUUGACGGUCUCUACGAAGA
This is a small nuclear RNA of Nycticebus coucang (slow loris), 139 nucleotides long. RefSeq annotates it as U4 spliceosomal RNA. The transcript has a single exon. Lineage: Eukaryota; Metazoa; Chordata; Mammalia; Primates; Lorisidae. The record is from RefSeq and is a predicted model, not a curated record.